CCUACGGGUGGCAGCAGUGGGGAAUAUUGGGCAAUGGGCGCAAGCCUGACCCAGCAACGCCGCGUGAAGGAAGAAGGCUGUCGGGUUGUAAACUUCUUUUCUCAGGGACGAAGCAAGUGACGGUACCUGAGGAAUAAGCAACGGCUAACGACGGGCCAGCAGCCGCGGUAAUACGUAGGUGGCAAGCGUUAUCCGGAUUUACUGGGUGUAAAGGGCGUGUAGGCGGGAACGCAAGUCAGAGGUGAAAACCACGGGCUCAACCUGUGGCCUGCAUUUGAAACGGUUUUUCUUGAGUACUGGAGAGGCAGGCGGAAUUCCUCGUGUAGCGGUGACAUGCGUAGAUAUUAAGAGGAACCCCAGUGGCGAAGGCGGUCUGCUGGACCGCAACUGACGCUGAGGCGCGAAAGCGUGGGGAGCAAACAGGAUUAGAUACCCGAGUAGUC
RNAcentral lists this ribosomal RNA (443 nucleotides) under uncultured bacterium. RNAcentral's name for it is "partial 16S ribosomal RNA". It matches the Rfam family "Bacterial small subunit ribosomal RNA", at positions 338 to 795 of the family's 1533-position model. The record is from RNAcentral.